Mauremys reevesii (Reeves's turtle) is the source of this 323-nucleotide long non-coding RNA. RefSeq lists it as uncharacterized. NCBI's taxonomy places the organism in Eukaryota, Metazoa, Chordata, Testudines, Geoemydidae. The record is from RefSeq and is a predicted model, not a curated record. The transcript has 3 exons.
UUUUGGCUAACUGGGAAAAGUGCUCAUUCCCCAAAGUGGGCCAAUUGCGACUCUGCAAUCAUUUUCUUCCCGUCUACACUCAUGUGACCAGCAACUGGCUGACCUGUGAGGAGCCGGAGCUCAAGCAGGCUAUCAUCAAAGCCCUUGGUCCCAUGAUGAGCCUCCUGCUACACAAAGAGGAGUAUCAAGAUCAGAUAUUUGAACACCUCUCAUGGCUCCUUGAGCAAUAUAAUGAAAACACUGAUGUUUUUCACGUCACCAAGAGUCUGAGCCAGCUCUUGGAGGUCUCUGGUGAAUAUAAGAUCCCUCUCCCUGACGGGAAG